UGGGGAAUAUUGGGCAAUGGGCGAAAGCCUGACCCAGCGACGCCGCGUGAGGGAAGACGGUCUUCGGAUUGUAAACCUCUUUUAUAAGGGACGAAGAAAUGACGGUACCUUAUGAAUAAGCCACGGCUAACUACGUGCCAGCAGCCGCGGUAAUACGUAGGUGGCAAGCGUUAUCCGGAUUUACUGGGUGUAAAGGGUGUGUAGGCGGGAUGGUAAGUCAGAUGUGAAAAUUAUGGGCUCAACUCAUAACCUGCAUUUGAAACUGCUGUUCUUGAGGUUCGGAGAGGUAGACGGAAUUCCUGGUGUAGCGGUGAAAUGCGUAGAUAUCAGGAGGAACACCGGUGGCGAAGGCGGUCUACUGGACGAAUACUGACGCUGAGACACGAAAGCGUGGGGAGCAAACAGG
Molecule: ribosomal RNA, 406 nt
Filed under: uncultured prokaryote
Also listed under: 1 other name
Description: bacterial SSU rRNA
Rfam family: Bacterial small subunit ribosomal RNA
Source: RNAcentral